RNAcentral lists this unclassified non-coding RNA (290 nucleotides) under uncultured Chaetosphaeriaceae. Its description in RNAcentral is "sequence contains ITS1". The stretch from base 1 to 105 matches the Rfam family "5.8S ribosomal RNA", at positions 50 to 154 of the family's 154-position model. Lineage: Eukaryota; Fungi; Ascomycota; Sordariomycetes; Chaetosphaeriales; Chaetosphaeriaceae. The record is from RNAcentral.
GAAAUGCGAUACGUAAUGCGAAUUGCAGAAUUCAGUGAGUCAUCGAAUCUUUGAACGCACAUUGCGCCCGCCAGUAUCCUGGCGGGCAUGCCUGUUCGAGCGUCAUUUCAACCCUCAGGCCCCGCCUGGUGUUGGGGCCCUGCGCGUGCAGGCCCCGAAAGACAGCGGCGGGCUCGACCCGGCUCCGAGCGUAGUAGCAUACGUCGCUCCGGGCGCCGGGCGGGCUCCUGCCGGAAACCCCACUUCUUUAGGUUGACCUCGGAUCAGGUAGGAAUACCCGCUGAACUUAA